RNAcentral lists this transfer RNA (72 nucleotides) under Chelonia mydas (Green sea turtle). It matches the Rfam family "tRNA". From Rfam's summary of the family: Transfer RNA (tRNA) molecules are approximately 80 nucleotides in length. Their secondary structure includes four short double-helical elements and three loops (D, anti-codon, and T loops). The record is from Rfam by way of RNAcentral. Lineage: Eukaryota; Metazoa; Chordata; Testudines; Cheloniidae.
GGCAGUGUGAUCUAGUGGAGAGAGCACUGGACUCGGAGUCCAGAGACCUGAGUUCUAUUCUGAGCUCUGCUG